Molecule: long non-coding RNA, 738 nt
Organism: Maniola jurtina (meadow brown)
Lineage: Eukaryota; Metazoa; Arthropoda; Insecta; Lepidoptera; Nymphalidae
Exons: 3
Source: RefSeq, a predicted model, not a curated record
GAGAUAGAUCGACAGCAAUGGCACGUCUUACGGUAGGUACUUCAUGGGUAGAUGAAUUACCCGCAGUGUUGCUAGGCUUAAGAGCGGCACCAAGGAGUGAUACCGGGAUAAGUGCAGCUGAACUUACGUUUGGUAGAACCCUAAGGUUACCAGGAGAUUUUUAUGAUGACGCCACAAUAAAAAUCUCCGAGUCAGAAUAUUUAAAUAAGUUAAAAGAUUCCAUUGGUAAAAUUAAGCCCAAACCAGAAUCGCACGGUAAUAGUAGAACGUUGUUUGUUCAUCCAGAUUUACAAGUGUGUGAGUAUGUUUUCCUAAGAAAUGACACCGUACGCCGUUCACUGCAGCCUCCUUACGACGGUCCUUAUCGAGUUGCGAAGCGCAGUGGUAAAGUAUUUCUUAUUCAGAUAGGUGACAGGUUGAGUUCUGUAUCGAUCAAUCGACUAAAACCGGCGUAUCUACAAAAUGAAUCGGUAAGUAUGGACAUUCCCGAAAACGACAAUUUGGUAAAAACUACCCGGAGUGGAAGAGUAGUUAAGAAACCAAUUCGUUUCAUGGAAACGUAGUUGUAAUGAUUCGAUUAUAUAUUAUAGUAUUAAAAUUUCUAAAGUUAGUGUUCAGUAUAUAAUAAGUAUUAUAAUGUUGUAUUGGUUUCAUAAUUUUAGCUAAUAGGUAUACAUAAGUAGAACGAUGCAAUUGUCUUACGCAGCACAACUCUUUAUAUUUUUACCCGGAAUGGUG